UACGGAGGGGGCUAGCGUUGUUCGGAAUUACUGGGCGUAAAGCGCACGUAGGCGGCUUUGCAAGUUAGAGGUGAAAGCCCGGGGCUCAACUCCGGAAUUGCCUUUAAAACUGCAUCGCUAGAAUUGUGGAGAGGUAAGUGGAAUUCCGAGUGUAGAGGUGAAAUCCGUUGAUAUUUAGGGGAACACCAAAAGCGAAGGCAGUUCACUGGCGCAUUCUUGACACUGAAACACUAAAGCGUGGGUAGCGAAUGGG
RNAcentral lists this ribosomal RNA (253 nucleotides) under uncultured bacterium. RNAcentral's name for it is "partial 16S ribosomal RNA". It matches the Rfam family "Bacterial small subunit ribosomal RNA", at positions 524 to 776 of the family's 1533-position model. The record is from RNAcentral.